AUCGAGGGCGAGGGAGGGGACGCGCUGCCCCGAGCGCCUCGCGGGGGGAACAAGGCACCUUUUGUGCAACCUGGCGCCCUUCUCUGCAGCUCCGCCGCUUGUUUUCCUCCAGCUUUGCUCUCGCCUCUCCCUCUGCCCUGACAUCUGCAGCGGGGAAAGAUGCCGUGAGGUGGACAAAGAGGGCAAAAAGUUCUCUCCCCAGGUCCCCAAACCAGUGGGGGGGUGAGGAGCUGAGUCCCAGCCAGGGCACCGCAUGGCACAGCUCUGUGCCCCUCAGGGUGGCACGGCCAUAAAGCCCCUCAUCUUGCCCCAGUUCCUGAGGUGGUGGGAGGUAGCAGGGCUCUGCCCCAUAUCUCUGCCCCACAUUUCAGCCCCUGGCACUGGGCAGAGGCAAAACACAGCUUUAGCAGAGGGUUAUGGCAGGAAGGGGGCUUAAAUCACCUUUGGGAGGACUGAGACGAGAAAUUGCUGUGGCACAGGGGGGAGCUGAGGGCUUGCUGGCCUUUGGCACCAGGCAUCACCGUGCCACCUGAGCAGGAAUUGCUCCUCAGCUGGAGGUGCUCGUUGUGGGCUCUGCUCUGUUGACUGCUGCAGGUAGGACCCUGCCUUUAUUCACACACUUGUACCCACAGGCUUUGGUGGAGAUGAGAUCUAAAAGGCCAUUUUGGCCAAUGUGCAGAGCAUUCCCAUGCUAUUGCAGUGCUGUGUUGGACCUCCCCUGCAGCUGUACAAGCCGCAUCGUCUGUACCAGCAGGAGCCAGGGCAUUGCUCCUUUUCUCCAGGUACCAGGAGAGGCACGCUGAAAGCAAAAGCAGCUUCUGGCAAUGAGGAACCGAGUAAGCACCAUGAGAUGGAAGGAAGGUAAAGUGCAGAGGCUGCAACUUGAAGUCAACGUGUGUGACUCCAUCUGCUGUACCACCUACAUUCAGGGCGGUGUGACGUGGCCAGAAGCUGGCGUUACUGGCCUUUGAACGGGCUCCCACAGCUAAGACUGAAGGAUGAAACCGGGUGCUUCUGCACCUUUGUUCCCUCCUGCCACCACUGGCAAGAAAAAAGCGAUGUGGCUGAGGCUGUGCUGGGUCUAUUCCACUGUACUUUCAGCCCUUGGCUAGUGUAAAUUAGCGCAGACCUCAAAC
Molecule: long non-coding RNA, 1136 nt
Organism: Anas platyrhynchos (mallard)
Lineage: Eukaryota; Metazoa; Chordata; Aves; Anseriformes; Anatidae
Source: RefSeq, a predicted model, not a curated record